AUUGAACGCUGGCGGCAUGGCUAAAACAUGCAAGUCGAGCGCGAAAGGGAGCAAUCCCGAGUAGAGCGGCGAAAGGGUGAGUAAUAGGUUUCUACGUGCCUCAAGGUCGAGGAUAGCCAGGGGAAACUCUGGGUAAUACUCGAUGUGAUCGAGAGAUCAAAGGCUUGCCGCCUUGAGAGCGGGGAACCUCCUAUCAGGUAGUUGGUGAGGUAACGGCUCACCAAGCCUAUGACGGGUAGCGGGUGUGAGAGCAUGGCCCGCCACAUCGAAACUGAGACACUGUUCGGACUCCUACGGGAGGCUGCAGUAACGAAUCUUCCGCAAUGCGCGAAAGCGUGACGGAGCAAUGCCGCGUGCAGGAUGAAGCCCCUCGGGGUGUAAACUGCUGUCAGGGAUUAGGAAGCAACUGACCAAUCCCAAAGGAAGAGACGACUAACUCUGUGCCAGCAGUCGCGGUAAUACAGAGGUCUCGAGCGUU
RNAcentral lists this ribosomal RNA (478 nucleotides) under uncultured bacterium. RNAcentral's name for it is "bacterial SSU rRNA". It matches the Rfam family "Bacterial small subunit ribosomal RNA", at positions 30 to 542 of the family's 1533-position model. The record is from RNAcentral.